UAACACAUGCAAGUCGAACGGAAACGAAACUAGCUUGCUAGUAGGCGUCGAGUGGCGGACGGGUGAGUAACGCGUAGGAAUCUGCCUGAUAGUGGGGGAUAGCCCGAAGAAAUUCGGAUUAAUACCGCAUAAUCUAUUCGUAGUAAAGUGGGGGACUUUCGAGCCUCACGCUAUCAGAUGAGCCUGCGUAAGAUUAGCUUGUUGGUAGGGUAAAAGCCUACCAAGGCAACGAUCUUUAGCUGGUCUGAGAGGAUGAUCAGCCACAUCGGGACUGAGACACGGCCCGAACUCCUACGGGAGGCAGCAGUGGGGAAUAUUGGACAAUGGGGGCAACCCUGAUCCAGCAAUACCGCGUGUGUGAAGAAGGCCUGAGGGUUGUAAAGCACUUUCAAUUGUGAAGAAAAGUUAACGGUUAAUAACCGUUGACCUUGACGUUAACUUUAGAAGAAGCACCGGCUAACUCCGUGCCAGCAGCCGCGGUAAUACGGAGGGUGCAAGCGUUAAUCGGAAUUACUGGGCGUAAAGCGUGCGUAGGCGGUUUAUUAAGUCAGAUGUGAAAGCCCCGGGCUUAACCUGGGAACUGCAUUUGAAACUGGUCAACUAGAGUAUGGUAGAGGAAAGUGGAAUUUCUGGUGUAGCGGUGAAAUGCGUAGAUAUCAGAAGGAACAUCAAUGGCGAAGGCAGCUUUCUGGACCAAUACUGACGCUGAGGUACGAAAGCGUGGGUAGCAAACAGGAUUAGAUACCCUGGUAGUCCACGCCGUAAACGAUGAUAACUAGCCGUUGGGGGGAUUUACCCCUUAGUGGCGAAGCUAACGCGUUAAGUUAUCCGCCUGGGGAGUACGGCCGCAAGGCUAAAACUCAAAGGAAUUGACGGGGACCCGCACAAGCGGUGGAGCAUGUGGUUUAAUUCGAUGCAACGCGAAGAACCUUACCUGGUCUUGACAUCCUGCGAACUUUCUAGAAAUAGAUUGGUGCCUUCGGGAACGCAGUGACAGGUGCUGCAUGGCUGUCGUCAGCUCGUGUCGUGAGAUGUUGGGUUAAGUCCCGUAACGAGCGCAACCCCUAUCCUUAUUUGCCAGCACAUUAUGGUGGGAACUAUAAAGAGACUGCCGGUGAUAAACCGGAGGAAGGCGGGGACGACGUCAAGUCAUCAUGGCCCUUACGACCAGGGCUACACACGUGCUACAAUGGGAAGGACAAAGAGCCGCGAAGCCGCGAGGUGUAGCUAAUCUCAUAAAUCUUUUCGUAGUCCGGAUUGGAGUCUGCAACUCGACUCCAUGAAGUCGGAAUCGCUAGUAAUCGUAGAUCAGAAUGCUACGGUGAAUACGUUCCCGGGUCUUGUACACACCGCCCGUCAUACCAUGGGAGUGGGUUGCACCAGAAGUGGCUAGUCUAACUUUGUGAGGACAGUCACCACGGUGUGAUUCAUGACUGGGGUA
RNAcentral lists this ribosomal RNA (1441 nucleotides) under uncultured bacterium. RNAcentral describes it as "bacterial SSU rRNA". It matches the Rfam family "Bacterial small subunit ribosomal RNA". The record is from RNAcentral.